Phoenix dactylifera (date palm) is the source of this 1597-nucleotide RNA transcript. RefSeq lists it as uncharacterized. NCBI's taxonomy places the organism in Eukaryota, Viridiplantae, Streptophyta, Magnoliopsida, Arecales, Arecaceae. The record is from RefSeq and is a predicted model, not a curated record.
GAAGAGGGUGGUUGGUUUUUGGGCGCAGAAGCGAAAGAGAGAGAGAGGAGAAGAGAAGAGUGGGUGGGAGAGAGCACGGUGAGAGAAACAGAGAGACCCCGCCGUUUCUUUGCUUCAAAUCCGAUACCAAGGGAAAACCCUCUUCUUCUCUUCUCUUUUAAGUGGAUUCAUCGUAAGCGUUCUGUCCUACACCUCCCCACUUUCUGCCUCCCCUGUUCUCCAUUUCCCUGCUCUAAAAAUCUCAUCUUUUCCAUCGAUCUCUAAUGGUCUUUUGAAACCGCAGGGGAAUCUGAGCACAGUGGCCUCGUUUCCGCGUUUUCCCUCUCUUUUCAUCAAAAAGAUUGGAUCUUGAGAUGGAGAAGGAGAUGAAGAGCCAGAGGGGGCCGAGGGGAGCUUCGGAGCCCGAUUUCCUGUUGCAGUGGGGGAACCGGAAGCGCCUCCGCUGCGUCAAGGUGAGAGACGAGGGCUCCCUGGCCAAAUCCGACGGCCAGAAGAGGACCACCACUCGCGUGAGCCGCCGCGUCAUCGGAGGGGAGAAAGGCUUCCCGUCGCCGCCGCCCGUCCGUCACCCCACCCCUCUCCACCAAAGGAAGUCGGAAUCGGCGGGGAGCGAAAACGGGAAGUCGGCGUCGCCGUCCUCCUCCCCGGAGAAAGAGGACCGGUUCUACACGACGAGGGGCUCGGCUGCGGGGUGCGAGGAGAACGGAGGAGCUGGAGGGGAGGAGAGAAAGGCGAUGGUUUUGCCAAGGUUCUUCGUGUCCUUGUCCAACAAAGAGAAGGAGGAGGAUUUCAUGGCUAUGAAGGGGUGCAAGCUCCCACAGAGACCCAAGAAGAGGUCUAAAUUGAUCCAAAAAUGCUUGCUUUUGGUCAGCCCGGGGGCAUGGCUAUCGGAUCUCUCUCAGGAGAGGUAUGAGGUCAGGGAGAAGAAGAGCUCAAGAAAGAGAAGGAGAGGAUUGAAGGCUAUGUGUAUGGAGAGUGAUUCCGAAUGAUUCAAAGAGGACGAGAGGGAAUUUGCUGUAUUAGGUUUUAAAAGAGAUUAGAAAUCUCUCAUCACGUCUAUAUUUUUUCUCCUUUCUCUUCUCUGGAUGAGGUAAACACUGUACACGCGAUGUUGCAUGGAUGAUUUGGAUUAGAUUCGAGUUUUUCUGUUUCUUUUUUUUUUUACAAAUUUUUGUGAUGAUUGUGAGGAUGGGAUUAUAUGUCUCUGUUGAUUGAAAGGAAUCUCUCUCUCUCUCUUGAGAGGCAAAAACUAAGAUGAUUCACUUGCAUAACUAAUGAGAUGUAUGUGGGAGACAUGCAUGGAAAGCUAUGGUGAAUGGAUGCAAAUCAGCAUUUGCUUGUGUGGACAUGGAUACGUGUGCAGUUGCUGCCACAUUUUAGGCUUCAUGCAUCUGUGCUACCUUGUAGAUCAAUUGAACUCUUGCUUCAAGGAGAUAAGAAACAAGACGAGUGUACUGGAUUGAAGUAGAGUUUCAUUUAACAUAUUAUUAGGUAUUACAGAACCAUGCUUCUUGGAACAUCAUUGUAGUUAACCAUACUUUAUGUUCAUGUGGAAGUGCUGUGGAAUUGUAGAUGAAAUGAAGCUAGAGAUUUGUCA